This 2082-nucleotide long non-coding RNA is filed under the name Homo sapiens (human). RNAcentral's name for it is "HSALNT0249449". Lineage: Eukaryota; Metazoa; Chordata; Mammalia; Primates; Hominidae. The record is from RNAcentral.
GUCUUGCUGCUUAGAAUAUAAGUUUCUUCAAAAACUCAUAAUGCAUUAGAAUCUGGUAAUACAAGAACAUGAUUGACAUCAAUUGUAUCUGUAAUGGGACUAAGCACUUUCCCAACUGCAUUGUCCUCAUAGGAGAAGUGAGUAUAAUCAUAUUUUUCUAGCACACUUUAGUAGUUAGCAUUGUUCUAAGUAAAAGAUUCAGCUAUGGGAGGCACUCAGUCAAUAUUUGUGAUUCUGAGUAUUAACGCAUACAUAUUUGAUAGAAGAAGAAAAGUUGCUUUCUAGCAAACAUCUAUUUUAUCCAUGAAUCAGGCAAUAUUAUGCCCUAGUUUGAAAAUUAUCUAUCUGUAGAGAUAUUGGAAGAUGAGUAUUUUGUGUGUUUUUUUUCCUACUGACACCUGCAUUUUAUGGGGGAGAGAAUAGGGCAAAGACAAAUAAGCUGACAUGGAAUGAGGUAGUUCAUAUUCCUCUUCCCUUGGGAGGGAUUUUGAGGUGUGACAGCCAUAAUUUUGAGGUAGUCAAUAUGGCCUUGAAGUUCCCCUAAGCUUGACUAAACUUUAGAGAGAUUUCUUUCUAACUGUAGGUUCCUGACCUCACUUUUCUUAGAGCAUUCACUUUAGAAACCACUUCAUUGUAAAUUUGUAUCUGUCCCUUUGAGAGGUACAUCUUCUGCAACCCAGAAAUGUCCUUCUCAAGGACCUGGGAGCCACCUCUUUGAAAUGUAAUCACUGAAGGCCAUAGUGCCCUUUUCUCCCAAUUUCUGUGGGGGAGUAGGGGCUUAGCUUCCAUAAGCACCAAUUAGCAAAUACAGAUGAUCUCAUUGCAUUGACUAACCACCCUUCCCCACCCCACUCAACCUCUUUCAGUAUUUCUUUAUUAGUCAUCUCAGCACCUAAAAACUCUUUCACCUUUUGUUUCAAGAGAGUUGAGUUCCUCCUUUCAAGUAUUCCUUGCAGUUUAAAUCCACCUGGUACAAUUAUUCUUUAACAGAGACCUUUAAAUAUCAACUUGCUGUGCAAAUUUUACAAAUUAACUUUAUUGAUGGUAGGAUAAGGUAAAUAAUACUCUCCAAGAACAAUUAUGCAUUUAUAAGUGGCCCUUGGGGUACCUUAAAUAUGUGGGCAUAGAGAAAGUAUUCAUUUUAAAUUGAUAUGUAAUAACUGCUUUAGUGUGUGUUUAAUGAAAAAAAAACAGAUACUGACUCUCUGAACAUAAAAAUUAUUUUUGUCACUCUGACAAAAGAAGAGUUUGACAGAAAUAUUGAAUUAUACUUAGUAGGACACUAUUCUUGAGACAGCUUCAUUGUUUUCAAAAUUUCUUGUACUUUGCUUCUUAAUUUUCAUCCUAAAUUUAAACAGCUUUGUUAGGUUUCACUAACACACCUCUGUGCCUAAAGAAUAGCUCUCUACCUCGGUUUUGCUAUCAAUUAAUCUUUCAUUUUGGAUUUUUUUCUUUUGUUACCUAUUUAAUCAGUUUGGCCAACUUUCAUAUAUACUACAAAUGACUUUUCCUUUCAAUGUCUAGUUUUUUAUUUCAUUUAUUUGCUAGGUAUUAGAGACAUAAAGAAGAUAAAUGAUUCAUAAAAGACAAUGAUUAAGAAAGAAUUUCUGUCCUGAAAUUUCUUAAAAGUAUAGUGGGGAGAGAAAUAAGUAAACAGCUAACAGUAAUAUAGUAUAGUAAGUUGUAUGGAGUUAUUUUGGACUGACUAGAGAAAAACAUAUACUGGACAAAUAAUCUCAGCCUUGAUGGUGGUGAUGGGGGAAGUAGUGGAUACAUGCGGGUUUGUGGGAGGAAGCAUCCCUCAAAUGGGUACCACUGGAGAGCAGAAUAAGUGCUGAAGAUAUUGGUAGAAGGUGAUGAAGAGGAGGAGUGCUGGAAAGGUAAACAGGAAGUUUCACAUUAGGGAGUUUAAACUUGAUCUUGCAUGUGAGAGUGCUGUUGAGAUAUUCUGUAGUUAGAAACUUACUGGCAUAAUCCUAUUUAGGAUUUAGAAGAAAGGUCUGGUUUUAGUAUUGGAAUGAUUUGGAAGUCGUAUUAAGGUUUUAUAAACUUUUUGGUUUACCUUCUUAAUAAAUGUAAGAG